AGUUAUUUAGCUUAUGUAAAGCAAUUAUUUUGAAAAUAAAAGAAAGGUUUAGCUUAAUAACUU
This 63-nucleotide transfer RNA is filed under the name Empoascanara falcata. RNAcentral describes it as "tRNA-Ser". The record is from RNAcentral. Lineage: Eukaryota; Metazoa; Arthropoda; Insecta; Hemiptera; Cicadellidae.